CGUUAGCGGCGGACGGGUGAGUAACGCGUGGGCAACCUGCCUUACACAGGGGGAUAACAAUUAGAAAUGAUUGCUAAUACCGCAUAAGACCCCAGUACCGCAUGGUACAGAGGUAAAAACUGAGGUGGUGUAAGAUGGGCCCGCGUCUGAUUAGGUAGUUGGUGGGGUAGAAGCCUACCAAGCCGACGAUCAGUAGCUGACCUGAGAGGGCGACCGGCCACAUUGGGACUGAGACACGGCCCAAACUCCUACGGAAGGCAGCAG
RNAcentral lists this ribosomal RNA (264 nucleotides) under uncultured bacterium. RNAcentral's name for it is "partial 16S ribosomal RNA". It matches the Rfam family "Bacterial small subunit ribosomal RNA", at positions 90 to 354 of the family's 1533-position model. The record is from RNAcentral.